This 885-nucleotide long non-coding RNA is filed under the name Ananas comosus (pineapple). RNAcentral's name for it is "long non-coding RNA (ACOM_LNC022018)". The record is from RNAcentral. Lineage: Eukaryota; Viridiplantae; Streptophyta; Magnoliopsida; Poales; Bromeliaceae.
AAUAUUCAAUGUAAUUUUUUAUAUAAUUAAAGCCGUGGUUUUAAAAGAUUAAGCGUUCAUCGUUACGGACCGUAUCUCUCGUAUCGUAUCGUACUAAUAAGAUAUUAAUACGAUACAGCUUCCGUACCGAUGACACAACUUAAAACUCUCUAUUUUUUAAAUUAGUAAGUAAUUUUUUUAAUAAAAUUUAAAAUAUUUGAUAAAGAUAGAUAACAAAUAGUUAUAAUAUUUUGUUAUUAAAGAAAUAAAUACUUCAUAUCAUUAUACAUGUAUUUUUUAAUGACCAGCACAUAUCGGUACAGUCCGGCACGCACCGCAUCGUACCGUGCCAAUAAGUUUCCGGCAUGAUCUCAUGUCACUUCACUUAAAUUCUUACUUGAUCCCUCAUAGCAUAAAUCUUUAACACUUUGAUAUCUAACCUAUUCUCAUGCACAAGGAUACAACCGAGCAAAUUCAGGGCGAAUUUUUAAAAAUUCAAAUCCGAACUCAAAUCUGACGGAUUUUAAAAAUUCAUAUCCAUCUGAACCCAACCAAAAAUUCGAAAUAUGAACCAAAAAAUAUAAAUCCAAAAUAAUUAUUCUCUUUAUCAUAUUUUAAACUUUCCACUCAUAUUCUUCCAAACGUUCUGGGAGAUAGUCAAAGCGGACAUCUUCAGCAUUUUUGUAGAUUUACAGGACAAUAAACUCUUUACUGGACCAACUGACUACUCCUGCGUCUACCUUUUCCCCAAAACUAAAGGAGCACGCAAGGCUAAUGACUUCUCAUCAAUGGAGUUCAAAAGAUCAUUUCCAAAGUUCUCGCAAACCGACUAGCGCUCACCCUGCCAUCUAUCAUCACCUCGACACAAUCGGCCUUCCUCAAAGACCGACUACUGACUGAUUCGUU